GUAUAAAGAGGUCUAGAUGUUGAGAAUUUGUGAUUAAUUCAGGUUAUCUACGAUGAGUAAUGUUAAUGAAGAUAGUGAUUGUAGCACAGACAAAAUGUAAACAAGCAUGUGGUUCAAUGAAUGGACUAAUUGUCAUUUCUUGAGGACUCUGUGGAGAAGGACAUUGUUCGGGUUCAUCUAAAGGACACAAUAAAGGCUCCUCAAAAGGAAAAGCUUAAGCUUUCUCAAAUGGACACGACUCAGGUUCCUCAUCUCCAGGGUCAAAGUCUUCUUCCAUACUCGUCAACUGGAAACAAGGAUUCUUUUGGAUCAAAAGGACACAUGGAGAUAAUUCUUAUGGAUCAAAAGGGGGAUGUCAUACCUACAAUGACUAAGAAGAAAGAUAUUGAAAUAUGACAAGACAAGCUCACAGAGGGGAACACUAAUAUAAUGCAUAAUUUCAAGAUUUUGAAGAACAAAUCUCAAUUUAGAGUUUGUGACCACCCAUUUAAGUUAUUGUUCAUAAGAGUCACCUCUGUACGGCCACAACCCAUUGUAAAUGUACCUAUGAAGGUUUUCAAGUUCAAAAGUAUCAAAUAAAUU
This is a long non-coding RNA of Vigna unguiculata (cowpea), 582 nucleotides long. RefSeq lists it as uncharacterized. NCBI's taxonomy places the organism in Eukaryota, Viridiplantae, Streptophyta, Magnoliopsida, Fabales, Fabaceae. The record is from RefSeq and is a predicted model, not a curated record.